GACGAACGCUGGCGGCGUGCCUAAUACAUGCAAGUAGAACGCUGAAGGAGGAGCUUGCUCUUCUGGAAGAGUUGCGAACGGGUGAGUAACGCGUAGGUAACCUGCCUGGUAGCGGGGGAUAACUAUUGGAAACGAUAGCUAAUACCGCAUAAGAUUGAAUAUCGCAUGAUAAUUGAUUAAAAGAUGCAAUUGCAUCACUACCAGAUGGACCUGCGUUGUAUUAGCUAGUAGGUGAGGUAACGGCUCACCUAGGCGACGAUACAUAGCCGACCUGAGAGGGUGAUCGGCCACACUGGGACUGAGACACGGCCCAGACUCCUACGGGAGGCAGCAGUAGGGAAUCUUCGGCAAUGGGGGCAACCCUGACCGAGCAACGCCGCGUGAGUGAAGAAGGUUUUCGGAUCGUAAAGCUCUGUUGUAAGAGAAGAACGAGUGUGAGAGUGGAAAGUUCACACUGUGACGUAUCUACCAGAA
RNAcentral lists this ribosomal RNA (474 nucleotides) under Streptococcus sp. oral taxon 056. RNAcentral's name for it is "bacterial SSU rRNA". It matches the Rfam family "Bacterial small subunit ribosomal RNA", at positions 28 to 488 of the family's 1533-position model. The record is from RNAcentral. Lineage: Bacteria; Bacillati; Bacillota; Bacilli; Lactobacillales; Streptococcaceae.